GGUUUUGUUUAGCUGUUACAUGCAAAAUCUUUUGUCAGAACAAAUUCAUAAAUACAACCCUUAAUUCUCUUCUCUUUAAUUUCAUAUAUUUUUCCUUUCCUUCUGAUUCCUUCAUAUGAUACAUAAAGCAAAUUUUGCCUCUGGUAAUAUAAGAACUAGACAAGAAUAACACAAGAAUUAAUUAAGGUUGGCAAGAAAAAGCUAAGAUCAAUCAUAGUGUUAAUUGAAAAAAAAAAAAAGAAAAA
This 245-nucleotide unclassified non-coding RNA is filed under the name Hevea brasiliensis (rubber tree). Lineage: Eukaryota; Viridiplantae; Streptophyta; Magnoliopsida; Malpighiales; Euphorbiaceae. The record is from RNAcentral.